CUGCCCGUAGCUCAGUUGGAUAGAGCAUCUGCCUUCUAAGCAGAGGGUCGCGGGUUCGAUUCCUGCCGGGCAGGCCA
This 77-nucleotide transfer RNA is filed under the name Sutterella wadsworthensis. Its description in RNAcentral is "tRNA-Arg". It matches the Rfam family "tRNA". From Rfam's summary of the family: Transfer RNA (tRNA) molecules are approximately 80 nucleotides in length. Their secondary structure includes four short double-helical elements and three loops (D, anti-codon, and T loops). Further hydrogen bonds mediate the characteristic L-shaped molecular structure. tRNAs have two regions of fundamental functional importance: the anti-codon, which is responsible for specific mRNA codon recognition, and the 3' end, to which the tRNAs corresponding amino acid is attached (by aminoacyl-tRNA synthetases). tRNAs cope with the degeneracy of the genetic code in two manners: having more than one tRNA (with a specific anti-codon) for a particular amino acid; and 'wobble' base-pairing, i.e. permitting non-standard base-pairing at the 3rd anti-codon position. Lineage: Bacteria; Pseudomonadati; Pseudomonadota; Betaproteobacteria; Burkholderiales; Sutterellaceae. RNAcentral also lists the same sequence under 4 other names. The record is from RNAcentral.